GAUGAACGCUGGCGGCGUGCCUAAUACAUGCAAGUCGAGCGAACAGACGAGGAGCUUGCUCCUCUGACGUUAGCGGCGGACGGGUGAGUAACACGUGGAUAACCUACCUAUAAGACUGGGAUAACUUCGGGAAACCGGAUCUAAUACCGGAUAAUAUAUUGAACCGCAUGGUUCAAUAGUGAAAGACGGUUUUGCUGUCACUUAUAGAUGUAUCCGCGCCGCAUUAGCUAGUUGGUAAGGUAACGGCUUACCAAGGCGACGAUGCGUAGCCGACCUGAGAGGGUGAUCGGCCACACUGGAACUGAGACACGGUCCAGACUCCUACGGGAGGCAGCAGUAGGGAAUCUUCCGCAAUGGGCGAAAGCCUGACGGAGCAACGCCGCGUGAGUGAUGAAGGUCUUCGGAUCGUAAAACUCUGUUAUUAGGGAAGAACAAAUGUGUAAGUAACUAUGCACGUCUUGACGGUACCUAAUCAGAAAGCCACGGCUAACUACGUG
Molecule: ribosomal RNA, 497 nt
Filed under: uncultured bacterium
Lineage: Bacteria
Description: partial 16S ribosomal RNA
Rfam family: Bacterial small subunit ribosomal RNA
Source: RNAcentral